This 27-nucleotide non-coding RNA is filed under the name Bombyx mori (domestic silkworm). The record is from RNAcentral. Lineage: Eukaryota; Metazoa; Arthropoda; Insecta; Lepidoptera; Bombycidae.
UCAUGAAAUCUAAUGCUGAUGUAGUUC